Molecule: unclassified non-coding RNA, 780 nt
Filed under: Bombus terrestris (buff-tailed bumblebee)
Lineage: Eukaryota; Metazoa; Arthropoda; Insecta; Hymenoptera; Apidae
Description: misc RNA ENSBTSG00005037241.1
Source: RNAcentral
AGUAGUUUGUUGUCAUUUGUAACUCAUUAUUUUUAUUCUUUGAAAUAUUAGACUUUAAUUUUACAAUAUCAUCAGUCUUUUGACUGUGAUUCAAACUAUAUCCUCGUAUCUUAUUUAAUUCUUCAACAUUAGCAACUGUUUCACUAUUUGAUGCAGAAUUACUCUUAGAACUUUUUUCUCCAGUUCUCUGCAUAACGUUUAACUUAGUUGUCGCAGAAUCAUCUAAAACAUUUGAAAAAAUAUUAUCUUUGCUUCCUGUUACCUUAGAACGCGAAAGAAAUUUUCCUUUUGCAAUUUUAGAUUCUUCGGAUUCCAGGAUUGGUACAUUAUUAGUCUCAUGUAUAGUUCCCGACUUACUUCUUACAGAAUCGUUUAAUAGAUUCGAAAAAAUAUUAUCUUUGCUUUCUAUUGCCUUAGAACGCAAGGGGAAUUUCCUUUUUGCAAUUUCAGGUUCACCUUCAGAUUCCGACGUUACUACAUUAUUGUUUUCCAUUACAACUUCUGAGGUAGUUGUCGUAGAAUUAUUUAAGACAUUAAAGAAGAUAUUAUCUUUGUUUUGUUUCGCUUUUGAACGCAGAGGAUAUCUUUUUUUUGCAUUUUCCGGUUCUUCCUCGGAUUCCGACGUUAUUACAUUAUUAUUUUCCUUUUUAACAUCUGACUUGGUUGUUACAGAAUCGUUUAAAACGUUCAAAAAAAUAUUAUCCUUGCUUUUUCUUGUCUUUGAACGCAAAUGAUGUUUGCUUUUUGCAAUUUCAAGUUCUUCUUCAGAUUCCGACACCA